UGGGGAAUAUUGCACAAUGGGCGCAAGCCUGAUGCAGCCAUGCCGCGUGUAUGAAGAAGGCCUUCGGGUUGUAAAGUACUUUCAGCGGGGAGGAAGGUGUUGUGGUUAAUAACCACAGCAAUUGACGUUACCCGCAGAAGAAGCACCGGCUAACUCCGUGCCAGCAGCCGCGGUAAUACGGAGGGUGCAAGCGUUAAUCGGAAUUACUGGGCGUAAAGCGCACGCAGGCGGUCUGUCAAGUCGGAUGUGAAAUCCCCGGGCUCAACCUGGGAACUGCAACCGAAACUGGCAGGCUUGAGUCUUGUAGAGGGGGGUAGAAUUCCAGGUGUAGCGGUGAAAUGCGUAGAGAUCUGGAGGAAUACCGGUGGCGAAGGCGGCCCCCUGGACAAAGACUGACGCUCAGGUGCGAAAGCGUGGGGAGCAAACA
Molecule: ribosomal RNA, 427 nt
Filed under: uncultured bacterium
Lineage: Bacteria
Description: partial 16S ribosomal RNA
Rfam family: Bacterial small subunit ribosomal RNA
Source: RNAcentral